RNAcentral lists this signal recognition particle RNA (99 nucleotides) under Sediminispirochaeta sp. Its description in RNAcentral is "signal recognition particle sRNA small type". It matches the Rfam family "Bacterial small signal recognition particle RNA". Rfam says of the family: The signal recognition particle (SRP) is a universally conserved ribonucleoprotein involved in the co-translational targeting of proteins to membranes. Archaeal SRP consists of a 7S RNA and homologues of the eukaryotic SRP19 and SRP54 proteins. Lineage: Bacteria; Pseudomonadati; Spirochaetota; Spirochaetia; Spirochaetales; Spirochaetaceae. The record is from RNAcentral.
GACCAGGUUCCGUGCUAUAGGCAGCCGCCCAACCCCGUCAGGACCGGAAGGUAGCAGCGGUAAGCGGCCCGUCUAUGAGACGCGGUCUACUUGGUCCGA